GAGACUUUUUGGAAAAAAAAGUACUCAUACUUACCUUUUGGGGAAGCACACAAAAUCAGAGUCUACUAAGUGAAAUAAUCUGGAGAUUGAAGCUCAUUCUUGCCCUAGAAAAAUGAAAGGCUUAUAGAUUGCACCUUAUGUUCUGGACGCCUGACCUGUGCCACGGUGGUCAUAUCCUGCCAUCCUCGGAGGUGUGGACAUGCCCAGCUGCCCCUGGCUCACGGGCCUUACUGCCAGCCCUACCACAUGCCCUCAGCUGAACGAUGAGUCCUUGGAGGUCUGUCCUGUCCCGCUCUCUCCCACAUCUGUUCCUUUUUGGUGUUAUGGGAAUAUUCAACUACUCUCCACUGAAGUGGAAAUUCUCAUGAGAUCCCAGGAAAACAUACUUGAAGCUCCAGGAUGUGAUGUGAUGGCUAAAACUUGGGUAGCAACCUUGGACCAUGACCAGGCUUAGAAACUUACAACAGAAAGAAAAGAGCCUGGGUCCCUGAGGAUGCCAAAAUGACUUCUGUACCAGCCUGGACUUGUCAAAUUUCAA
This is a non-coding RNA of Odocoileus virginianus texanus, 538 nucleotides long. The record is from RefSeq and is a predicted model, not a curated record. NCBI's taxonomy places the organism in Eukaryota, Metazoa, Chordata, Mammalia, Artiodactyla, Cervidae.